CGGUAAAGUGCGAGCAGACGAGGUGUCAGGUGUAAAUACGUUAAAAAUUAAAGCUAAAAGACUAAACAGUUAGAUCGUAAUAUCUUUUAAUUUGUGAAUAAAUGUGUUUCUGGUGGAUAACAACGACAACUUACCAAAAUAUUGCUCAUGAUCACACGUAAAACUUCUUUCUGAGACAUAGUGUACACACCGGUCUUACUGACAAUAACGAAGUGACGUCACCAUCUAUGUAUAGAAUGCUUUCUGAGAGCGAAUGGAAAAUGCGUCACAUAUUCUGACAAAUAAACAGUAGGGUGUCGUUAUUGAAAUACCGCGAGAAUACUGGAAGAAUAGAGAUGCCAACUAUAGUGUUUAAAACAAAUAAUUUUUUAACAAGCGUUUGUGAUUUGUCAGGAUAAUAAAAACAAUAAGAUAUCGAAAAGAUCAAAGCAAAUAAAUUCGACAGAAAUCUGAGAUUCGGCAAUAUAUUAAAGACGGGUUAUGUUCACCUAUAUUGUGUUUGGUAAAGACUGUAACUAUAUGUAGUGAACCAGUCUUCGGCUUAUACCCACUGAAGAAGAGCAUUCAGGGGAGAUAAUUGAGUAAUGACAAUUCUGGAACGGUUGCGAAGAAAAACAAAUAAUGCGAGAAUAUUUAGUGCGAUUCGCUACACAAUUAUGAUGUCAUUGAUAUAACUUUUCUUGAGCUCCCACAAUGAUAGACUAUCUAGAUCUCUCUGAAACUGAAUAGUGUCAGCCAAAGUUUUUAUGGAUCUGUACAUGACACAGUCAUCCGCAAAUAGACGGACGUUUGACUUCACAGACGAAGGUAGAUCAUUCAUGUAGAGCAGAAACAAAAGAGGCCCAAGAACUGAUCCCUGGGGUACGCCAGAAAUUACAGGGGCCAUGGUGGAAGUUGCCCCAUCUACAACAACCUGUUGAGUACGGUUACCAAGAAAAGCUUUAAUCCAAGAGUGUGUAGUGCCCGUGAUGCCAUAAUGGGCUAGUUUCAGCAACAAUCUACCGUGGUGUACAACAUCGAAGGCUUUGCUAAAAUCCAUGAUGGCAACAUCCAUCUGGUCUCUCUGCAUGGUAGAAGCUAAGUCAUGGAUAAAGCCCACAAGUUGGGUUUCGCAAGACCGCCGGGCUCGAAAGCCAUGUUGGUUGUCCACCAGGAUAUUAAAGUUGUCAAGAUGGUCUAAGAUGUUUCUAACAAUGAUAUGCUCCAGCAAUUUACAAGCAAUACAUGUUAAUGAGACUGGUCUAUAAUUACUAGCUUGGUACUUUUCACUUUUUUUUUAAAAUAGGAGCUACAAAAGCCAUGGACCAGUCAGAAGGGACAGAACCAGAAAUAAGUGAUUUGUUAAAAAGAAUUGUAAAAAUAGGUGCAAUUUCAUUUGCACAUUCCUGUAAGAUUCUGGGUUUGAUUUGGUCUGGCCCUGCGGCCUUGUAAGGAUUCAGUUUGAGUAGGAGUUUCUUAACACCAUUUACCGUAAUAUUGAUUGAUGGCAUGUUUUUAUACGGGCUAUUACCAAGAUCUGGAUAUGAGCUGUUUGUGUCAUUAGUAAAAACAGAAGAAAAUUGUUUAUUUAAGACUUCAGCUUUUUCCUUGGGGUUAGAUUUUAAGACCCCAUCAUCCCUCAAAGGUGCUACACCACAGGAGUUUUUUAAGCUUUUUAUGAAACCCCAAAAACGUUUAGUUGUCCCAUGUUUAUGUUCUGUUUCAUCACAUAUUAUGUUGUUCAUGUAGUCCCAGUAAGAGUUACGAAUUUUCUUUUGUAUGGAUGAUCUGAUCUUCUUAAUUUUUGGAAGUAAAGUGUAAUUUUUAGUCUUUUUCAUUUUGCUAUAAGUCCGGUCACGUUUUUUUCAUUAGCUUUUUAAUGUCAGAAUUCAGCCAUGGUAGAUGCUGCUUGCCAGAAACAGUUUUAGUUGGUAUGUAUUUUUCAACAAGUGUGUUAAGACAGACUUUGAAUUUGUCCCAAAGCUGCUGGACAUUCAUAUCAUUAAUAUUGUUUACAUCUAUAAAAUUUAUUAAACAAGUUUUGAUUUC
This is a long non-coding RNA of Dreissena polymorpha, 2028 nucleotides long. RefSeq lists it as uncharacterized. The record is from RefSeq and is a predicted model, not a curated record. Lineage: Eukaryota; Metazoa; Mollusca; Bivalvia; Myida; Dreissenidae. The transcript has 2 exons.